Molecule: ribosomal RNA, 490 nt
Filed under: uncultured bacterium
Lineage: Bacteria
Description: partial 16S ribosomal RNA
Rfam family: Bacterial small subunit ribosomal RNA
Source: RNAcentral
AUUGAACGCUGGCGGCAGGCCUAACACAUGCAAGUCGAACGGUAACAGGAAGCAGCUUGCUGCUUUGCUGACGUGUGGCGGACGGGUGAGUAAUGUCUGGGAAACUGCCUGAUGGAGGGGGAUAACUACUGGAAACGGUAGCUAAUACCGCAUAACGUCGCAAGACCAAAGAGGGGGACCUUCGGGCCUCUUGCCAUCGGAUGUGCCCAGAUGGGAUUAGCUAGUAGGUGGGGUAACGGCUCACCUAGGCGACGAUCCCUAGCUGGUCUGAGAGGAUGACCAGCCACACUGGAACUGAGACACGGUCCAGACUCCUACGGGAGGCAGCAGUGGGGAAUAUUGCACAAUGGGCGCAAGCCUGAUGCAGCCAUGCCGCGUGUAUGAAGAAGGCCUUCGGGUUGUAAAGUACUUUCAGCGGGGAGGAAGGGAGUAAAGUUAAUACCUUUGCUCAUUGACGUUACCCGCAGAAGAAGCACCGGCUAACUCCGUG